UGAACGCUAGCGGCAGGCUUAACACAUGCGAAGUCGGAGGGGUAGGUUACUUCGGUAAUUGAGACCGGCGCACGGGUGCGUAACGCGUAUACAAUCUACCUUUACAGAGGGAUAGCCCAGAGAAAUUGGAUUAAUACCUCAUAGUAUUUUUGAAUCGCAUGAUUUGAUUAUUAAAGUUCCAACGGUAAAAGAUGAGUAUGCGUCCCAUUAGCUAGAUGGUAAGGUAACGGCUUACCAUGGCUACGAUGGGUAGGGGGUCCUGAGAGGGAGAUCCCCCCACACUGGUACUGAGACACGGACCAGACUCCUACGGGAGGCAGCAGUGAGGAAUAUUGGACAAUGGGCGCAAGCCUGAUCCAGCCAUGCCGCGUGCAGGAAGAAGGUCCUAUGGAUUGUAAACUGCUUUUAUACAGGAAGAAACACUCCCUCGUGAGGGAACUUGACGGUACUGUAUGAAUAAGGACCGGCUAACUCCGUG
This 478-nucleotide ribosomal RNA is filed under the name uncultured bacterium. Its description in RNAcentral is "bacterial SSU rRNA". It matches the Rfam family "Bacterial small subunit ribosomal RNA", at positions 30 to 507 of the family's 1533-position model. The record is from RNAcentral.